UGCACGGGCCGGCUCAACCCG
This 21-nucleotide small nuclear RNA is filed under the name Arabidopsis thaliana (thale cress). RNAcentral describes it as "snRNA_00111". Lineage: Eukaryota; Viridiplantae; Streptophyta; Magnoliopsida; Brassicales; Brassicaceae. The record is from RNAcentral.